UGAGAACAGAACUGCUUUCCACUGGUC
RNAcentral lists this small RNA (27 nucleotides) under Bombyx mori (domestic silkworm). Its description in RNAcentral is "ovarian small RNA-32110". The record is from RNAcentral. Lineage: Eukaryota; Metazoa; Arthropoda; Insecta; Lepidoptera; Bombycidae.